GUGGGUAUGGCUUAGUUGGUUAAAGCGCCAGAUUGUGGAUCUGGAAAUCGCCGGUUCGAAUCCGGUUAUCCACCCCA
This 77-nucleotide transfer RNA is filed under the name Clostridia bacterium. Its description in RNAcentral is "tRNA-His". It matches the Rfam family "tRNA". Rfam says of the family: Transfer RNA (tRNA) molecules are approximately 80 nucleotides in length. Their secondary structure includes four short double-helical elements and three loops (D, anti-codon, and T loops). The record is from RNAcentral. Lineage: Bacteria; Bacillati; Bacillota; Clostridia.